GGGAGAGGGAGAGAGGGGGGCUGGGAGCUGGGGAGGGGUAGGUGAAAGUGAACGUUGGGGAUGAAGAGGGAGUUACUGGAGAGAUAAAAAGCAGAGAGAAGUUGCCUGCUACGAUUAUCAAAAUAAAGUAAAUUCCAUAACCUUUUUAUUGGAGCAGCUAGCGCAGUCUGCUUCUUCUAUUUCAUACCUGAAGGCGGAAGUUAGGCUUUCAGAUAUUCCUAGGUAGUUAUUAAAAUUAUUCCCUAAGUUAAAACCCUAAACUAUACUCCUUUUGCAUUUUUCUUUUAAUAUUAAACCCGUGUCGCAGGCCAAUAGGCCCAAAAAUAAUAAACCAAGCCUUGAACCCUUUUUUACCCAACUACCUGAUCUAAUGGUCCUACCUGUUAAGCAAGACAUGCCCAAUUCUAAGCAAAUCCAUAUAGGAAAACAAUCCAAAAGAUUGUACUCAAACAUGAAAACUAAAAAGGGAAAUGUUGGAAUCAGAAAAAUCCUCAAGAUGUGGCUAUACGAGCAUAUAAAUACAAAUUAGAUUAAUUAAUUACUAAUGACUCAAAAUUGCGGACUAGGAUAAGGUCGAACAGAUUCCAUUGACACAUGGAAAUUAAUAGAGUUACACAAAUAUGAAAGAGAGCAUACCCAAUAGACACAACAGUUCCGAUGGUUGUAAUGAAUUCCUGCUAUGAUCAGAUAGAACACCAACGAGCAAAGGGUAUUGUGACAUGAGCACUGGUCGGUAAAUUUUUAUGCCAGCCAAUGCUACAUGUAAAAAUGCUCAUUACAAGCCGAAUUCAACAAAAGAGAUGGAUUUGGCGCAAAGUCUGGCCGGUCAACGGGAUUUUCGCUGUCAAAAUUAAAACGAAAAAUGACACCAAACAAAAGGUUUCUCACAACCCUAUCAUCUGGAAUAAGAGUUUAAUAGAAAUGUAGUGGGGUUGAGGUAAUUUGAAGAAAUGACAAAAAAGGUUGAACCUUUACUAUUAGAUUUUCUAACUGAAAAAAAUUGAGAUACUUUUUGCGGAAACUAAUGUUUGAUUACGAAUGACGACAAGAAGAAGAUCAUAAGGUAAUGAUUUAGGUGGGUUUGGAAGUGGUCCACUGCCGGAAGGCAAUUUUCGGUCGGCAGAGCUAGGUAGCUGACUUGAGAUCAUUUGAAAAUUGGGACGGUUAGGGUUCAGGUAUUUUGAAGAGAUAUGAAAUAAAU
This 1201-nucleotide long non-coding RNA is filed under the name Nicotiana benthamiana. Its description in RNAcentral is "long non-coding RNA (NBEN_LNC039602)". Lineage: Eukaryota; Viridiplantae; Streptophyta; Magnoliopsida; Solanales; Solanaceae. The record is from RNAcentral.